This 254-nucleotide ribosomal RNA is filed under the name uncultured bacterium. Its description in RNAcentral is "partial 16S ribosomal RNA". It matches the Rfam family "Bacterial small subunit ribosomal RNA", at positions 524 to 776 of the family's 1533-position model. The record is from RNAcentral.
GACAGAGGGUGCAAACGUUGCUCGGAAUCACUGGGCGUAAAGAGCGUGUAGGCGGCUUGGUAAGUCCGCUGUGAAAGUCCAGGGCUCAACCCUGGAAUGCCGGUGGAAACUGUCAAGCUUGAGUCCGGAAGAGGCGAGUGGAAUUCCUGGUGUAGCGGUGAAAUGCGCAGAUAUCAGGAGGAACACCAAUGGCGAAGGCAGCUCGCUGGGACGGUAGCUGACGCUGAGACGCGAAAGCGUGGGGAGCAAACAGG